AUCUUGGAUUUUCGGUUCAUAGUACUAUUCCAAUAACGGAAACUAAUAGAAAGCGAGGGGAAAGCUAACAGCGGCAAUGUUAACGCA
Molecule: long non-coding RNA, 87 nt
Organism: Rhagoletis zephyria (snowberry fruit fly)
Lineage: Eukaryota; Metazoa; Arthropoda; Insecta; Diptera; Tephritidae
Source: RefSeq, a predicted model, not a curated record